GCGGACGGGUGAGUAACACGUGGGUAACCUGCCUGUAAGACUGGGAUAACUCCGGGAAACCGGGGCUAAUACCGGAUAACACCUACCCCCGCAUGGGGGAAGGUUGAAAGGUGGCUUCGGCUAUCACUUACAGAUGGACCCGCGGCGCAUUAGCUAGUUGGUGAGGUAACGGCUCACCAAGGCGACGAUGCGUAGCCGACCUGAGAGGGUGAUCGGCCACACUGGGACUGAGACACGGCCCAGACUCCUACGGGAGGCAGCAGUAGGGAAUCUUCCGCAAUGGACGAAAGUCUGACGGAGCAACGCCGCGUGAGUGAAGAAGGUUUUCGGAUCGUAAAACUCUGUUGUUAGGGAAGAACAAGUGCCGUUCGAAUAGGGCGGCACCUUGACGGUACCUAACCAGAAAGCCACGGCUAACUACGUGCCAGCAGCCGCGGUAAUACGUAGGUGGCAAGCGUUGUCCGGAAUUAUUGGGCGUAAAGCGCGCGCAGGUGGUUUCUUAAGUCUGAU
This 510-nucleotide ribosomal RNA is filed under the name Bacillus sp. SCAUE9003. Its description in RNAcentral is "bacterial SSU rRNA". It matches the Rfam family "Bacterial small subunit ribosomal RNA", at positions 98 to 593 of the family's 1533-position model. The record is from RNAcentral. Lineage: Bacteria; Bacillati; Bacillota; Bacilli; Caryophanales; Bacillaceae.